RNAcentral lists this ribosomal RNA (319 nucleotides) under uncultured bacterium. RNAcentral's name for it is "bacterial SSU rRNA". It matches the Rfam family "Bacterial small subunit ribosomal RNA", at positions 28 to 334 of the family's 1533-position model. The record is from RNAcentral.
GAUGAACGCUAGCGACAGGCUUAACACAUGCAAGUCGAGGGGCAGCGGUGGUGAAGGCUUGCCUUUACCAGCCGGCGACCGGCGCACGGGUGAGUAACACGUAUGCAACCUGCCUGCCACAGCCGGAUAAUCGGGAGAAAUCCCGUCUAAUACGGCAUAAUGCACCUAUGGGACAUCCUGUUGGUGCCAAAGGUUAAUUCCGGUGGCGGAUGGGCAUGCGUCGCAUUAGUUAGUUGGCGGUGUAACGGACCACCAAGACGACGAUGCGUAGGGGUUCUGAGAGGAAGGUCCCCCACACUGGUACUGAGACACGGACCAG